UACAGAGGUCUCAAGCGUUGUUCGGAUUCAUUGGGUUUAAAGGGUGCGCAGGCGGGCCAUUAAGUCAGGGGUGAAAGACGGUUGCUCAACAAUCGCAGUGCCUUUGAUACUGGUGGUCUUGGGUGACCUUGAGGUAGGCGGAAUGGGUGGUGUAGCGGUGAAAUGCAUAGAUACCACCCAGAACUCCGAUUGCGAAGGCAGCCUACUGGAGGUUUACCGACGCUCAGGCACGAAAGCGUGGGGAUCAAACAGG
This 253-nucleotide ribosomal RNA is filed under the name uncultured bacterium. Its description in RNAcentral is "partial 16S ribosomal RNA". It matches the Rfam family "Bacterial small subunit ribosomal RNA", at positions 524 to 776 of the family's 1533-position model. The record is from RNAcentral.